GUUCAAUUAAACAAAUAGAUCGAGCGCUUCUAGUGUAGUCAAAAAGAUUGCUUUUUUCAAAAAUUUCAAAAAGCCACGUACUCGCUCGAAUCUUUAUCUUUAAAAUGCGAUCUUGUUCGUUAAAAUCUUUCAAGAAUUACGGCUAUACUCAUCGUAGCCGUAAACCGUUAUAAAAUCAAGGCUUUGACGAGCAACUUUAAGUCGUAGAAAUUUAAAAAAUUGUACACAGAGAGGGGUUAUCGGUUAACGCGAUAGCCCGCACUGCUACCGUUAUCACGGUAUACUGCGGUUAGCGACAGUGGAUAGCGAUGAUAAUAGUAAAAACGAAAAUAUAUAACAGACAGUCAUAGUUCGAUAAAAUGUGGUAUGGAACUCUUUAUCCAGAAAAGAUUUAAUUGAUCUUAUUAUAACAUUAUAUUUUGAUCUUUGUUCUAUAUAAUUACAUGCAAAACAGCAUUGUAACAUCGUGUAUGUAACUAGUAGAUAAUUAUUUAUUUCUUAAAUGAUAUUAAAUAUACUUUACAUACUAUUA
Molecule: long non-coding RNA, 532 nt
Organism: Vespula pensylvanica (western yellowjacket)
Lineage: Eukaryota; Metazoa; Arthropoda; Insecta; Hymenoptera; Vespidae
Exons: 2
Source: RefSeq, a predicted model, not a curated record